CCUACGGGAGACAGCAGUGAGGAAUAUUGGUCAAUGGACGAGAGUCUGAACCAGCCAAGUAGCGUGAAGGAUGACUGCCCUAUGGGUUGUAAACUUCUUUUAUAUGGGAAUAAAACGUUCCACGUGUGGGAUUUUGUAUGUACCAUAUGAAUAAGGAUCGGCUAACUCCGUGCCAGCAGCCGCGGUAAUACGGAGGAUCCGAGCGUUAUCCGGAUUUAUUGGGUUUAAAGGGAGCGUAGGUGGAUUGUUAAGUCAGUUGUGAAAGUUUGCGGCUCAACCGUAACAUUGCAGUUGAAACUGGCAGUCUUGAGUACAGUAGAGGUGGGCGGAAUUCGUGGUGUAGCGGUGAAAUGCUUAGAUAUCACGAAGAACUCCGAUUGCGAAGGCAGUUCACUGGACUGCAACUGACACUGAGGCUCGAAAGUGUGGGUAUCAAACAGGAUUAGAUACCCCUGUAGUC
This 460-nucleotide ribosomal RNA is filed under the name uncultured bacterium. Its description in RNAcentral is "partial 16S ribosomal RNA". It matches the Rfam family "Bacterial small subunit ribosomal RNA", at positions 338 to 795 of the family's 1533-position model. The record is from RNAcentral.